Molecule: ribosomal RNA, 456 nt
Filed under: uncultured bacterium
Lineage: Bacteria
Description: bacterial SSU rRNA
Rfam family: Bacterial small subunit ribosomal RNA
Source: RNAcentral
UACGGAAGGACGAGCAGUGGGGGAAUAUUGCACAAUGGGCGCAAGCCUGAUGCAGCCAUGCCGCGUGUAUGAAAAAGGCCUUCGGGUUGUAAAGUACUUUCAGUCGUGAGGAAGGUGUUAAGGUUAAUAACCUUAGCAAUUGACGUUAGCGACAGAAGAAGCACCGGCUAACUCCGUGCCAGCAGCCGCGGUAAUACGGAGGGUGCGAGCGUUAAUCGGAAUUACUGGGCGUAAAGGGCACGCAGGCGGUUAAUUAAGUUGGAUGUGAAAUCCCCGGGCUUAACCUGGGAAUGGCAUUCAAGACUGGUUAGCUAGAGUCUUGUAGAGGGGGUAGAAUUCCAUGUGUAGCGGUGAAAUGCGUAGAGAUGUGGAGGAAUACCGGUGGCGAAGGCGGCCCCUGGACAAAGACUGACGCUCAUGUGCGAAAGCGUGGGGAGCAAACAGGGAUUAGAUACC